Molecule: ribosomal RNA, 483 nt
Filed under: uncultured bacterium
Lineage: Bacteria
Description: partial 16S ribosomal RNA
Rfam family: Bacterial small subunit ribosomal RNA
Source: RNAcentral
GACGAGCGCUGGCGGCGUGCUUAACACAUGCAAGUCGAACGAUGAAGCCAGAGCUUGCUCCGGUGGAUUAGUGGCGAACGGGUGAGUAACACGUGAGCAAUCUGCCCUUGACUCUGGGAUAACUGCGGGAAACUGUAGCUAAUACUGGAUACGACACCUUGGGGCAUCCCAGGGUGUGGAAAGAAUUUCGGUCAAGGAUGAGCUCGCGGCCUAUCAGCUAGUUGGUGAGGUAAUGGCUCACCAAGGCGACGACGGGUAGCCGGCCUGAGAGGGUGACCGGCCACACUGGAACUGAGAAACGGUCCAGACUCCUACGGGAGGCAGCAGUGGGGAAUAUUGCACAAUGGGCGAAAGCCUGAUGCAGCAACGCCGCGUGAGGGAUGAAGGCCUUCGGGUUGUAAACCUCUUUUAGCAGGAAAGAAGCGAAAGUGACGGUACCUGCAGAAAAAGCACCGGCUAACUACGUGCCAGCCGCCGCCGUAA